UAUUUAUUUGGGGAAGACAAA
This 21-nucleotide non-coding RNA is filed under the name Caenorhabditis elegans. Lineage: Eukaryota; Metazoa; Nematoda; Chromadorea; Rhabditida; Rhabditidae. The record is from RNAcentral.